RNAcentral lists this transfer RNA (72 nucleotides) under Phrynosoma platyrhinos (Desert horned lizard). RNAcentral describes it as "tRNA-OTHER". The record is from RNAcentral. Lineage: Eukaryota; Metazoa; Chordata; Lepidosauria; Squamata; Phrynosomatidae.
GCCAGUGUGGCAUAGUGGCUUGAGUGUUGGACUGUGACUCUGGAGACCAGUGUUUAAUUCCCAGCUUGGCCA